Molecule: long non-coding RNA, 4947 nt
Filed under: Gossypium barbadense (sea-island cotton)
Lineage: Eukaryota; Viridiplantae; Streptophyta; Magnoliopsida; Malvales; Malvaceae
Description: long non-coding RNA (GBAR_LNC001307)
Source: RNAcentral
AAGGAGGAGGUGGAAUUUCUUUCAACUAUAACAUUUAUUACAACACUUAAUAUUACAGACAGAGAAUUCGGUAAGGGGAUAGAAGCACAUCCUGCACCCGAUAUGUCAAAGCAGCUUGAAGCCCUGCAACUCGCGCAUACUGAUGAAAGGGAAAAGGCCAAUUCACGCAUUUUUCGCAGAGUACCUGAAAAGCCCUAUGAGCUAACUUUCCAUUUGACGGAAAAGAGCAAGCGGACCUGUGAAAGUCACAUCUUUUACUAAUAUAACAGGCUUCUGAGAGGAUUCUUUAAUCAACCAAAACCUGCAGUCCUUAAUUUCUACCACUUACAAGUUGAGAUUUGUUCCAUUCCCAAUGGCAGAAGAAGGAUGCAAGCUGGAAGGACUUGGACAAGAUAUUAUUCACUUGGACAGGAGCUGCAGCGCGCUUAGCGUCGGAAAGAUCCCUCUACAUGGGUGUGCUAUAAAACUAGGAGAAGAACAGAACUAAACUGAAAAUUUCCUUUCGUUUCGAGCUUCCAGUUAUUCUGGAUUGCUAACGUGAUUGGAUUACGGCUGAUUCAGAGUAGGUUGGCUCUGGGGAACCUAUUCAUGUAGAGUCGGGUCGGCAGCUUUUGAAUCCAAGUAGGUUGUUUUCAAGCCAAGAAUAAAGACUUCACCUUCAAGCGCAGAUCUAACGGCAAGGGAAUCCGCUGUUUAUGAAGAGUUAAUAGCACUUUCCCGGAAUAGAACUCUCAGGAUGAAUGCAGGGGGCUGUGGGCUAGUCUGAUUCGGAGGCUGAAUGCGUACUUCACUCUCUCGGGAUGUCUGCCCACUGUAACCUAAGCAAGCCCUAAUCCACUCCUUUUUUUCUAAGCGUAAGCCCUUGGAUUAGUUUCCUUCCUUGGGAUCCUUCUCCGGGGAUUAUGUUACAUCUAUCUCGUAAGCCGGCUAGAUUCAAUACAGCGGAUGAGGAAAAUCCUGCAAGCUUAGACAAGAUAGAAAGUAAGGAAGACAGAAGGUGGGUAGCGAAGAACAAAUCCAAUAGCUAGGUCACGAUUCAACUUCCUAUUCAAGUGAAUCUGCCUGGAGCGAGCCUGGUCUGGGAUCUUUCCCAUAGCCUUCUUUCUUUAUUCUUUAUCGCCUGGUCUUUCGUAUGGGACGUGGGAUCUUUCUUUCCUAAAUCCAUUUACCUUGCUAGCCUAAGGCUUAAGAGUUAUCCCUUCUAAUCAAAAAAGGAAAGCAAGGAAAGCCGAAACCAGUGCUACUCUCAAGUAACCCAAUGGACGUACGAAUAUCUGCUUCGAAAGGACAAAGAGAGUCUUUAUUUAAGCUAUUCUUCGCUUAUUGGCACAAGAAGCUGACUCAAUGAGAGGGACACCAUCGAGCCAAGUAUCCAGUCAAAACUUAGUUGCAUGGCCAUUUAAAUUAAAACAUUCAUUCCAAGGCCCUUUUUGAGCACCACCCGACCUUUCAUUUCAAGACGCUUCUCAUUCUCACAGGUAGGAAGAAGAAGGUUUAAUCGGGCUAUGAAGGAAAUCCACCUCUCUCUGGUAUGUUUUAUUAACCUCGUCCUGCCAGUGCGGGCAGUCGACUCAGUAACCAGUGCUAGGAAUUUAAAAAAUGCCUUAGGGCAAGUGACGAUAAGCUGCUAAACUAUUUCUGUAUUGUAAACAAUCACUCAUUUUCGAUCUAAGAGGCUUUCAACUUAUAAAGAUAAAGCCAAUAGUUCGGUGCACGGAACUAUUGGCUUUAGCGACCCAAUGUCAGUAGAUGAAAGACGAGUUCGAAAGUACUGGAUAGGUGCCUCCCCCACGAAAUGUAGCUUAUGCGGAACCUAUUACUCCUCAACCACCAACUGAUAGAGAAGCUCUGUAAGGGCUAUUAUAGGGCACGCCCUACUCAAUGCGAUUUUUUUUCUUUUCUUGCUGAAAUCCAAUCCUCUCUUAUUGAAUUAAUUCUUUGUGCUGAUAGGAAUGCCCUUUCUUUGGACGACAUAAACCAAAAAACAUCCUCUUACUGGGCUGGUAGUAGCGUUAGCGUCCUAAGAGCCCUCUGGUUGCAUUGAAAAAAGAUGAGCUUUUUCCCCGGUGGUUCAGAAGAUGCCACAUCUGCCUCAAGACCCACAGCUUAUUCAACAGCUUACGCCCCUGCGAUUUGUUGCUUCCAAGGUUUUCGAUUGGUCUUAUUUCUACCCGGGUUUCAAGCCAUCGUCUCAGUCGGUGGCCUAAGAUAAGCCAACUUACAAGAUCGGAUUAGCAAAUCAUGAAACCAGCCAAAGAAGAGCUUGCAAUCGCAUAUUGCGCCCAUACUAGUACCCUUUGUUGUACCUACUUAGGCCACAUCCCCUUCCUUUUCCUUCCCAGCAUGUCUGUCGUCUUCUUUCAAAGAGGCCAUUCUUGGUCUUUCAACUAACCCGAAAAGGGCUACUUACCAAUCAAAAGGAAAAAAGAACGAAUGAGAUAGCUGAAGCCAAAGCCACAUUUGAGGAUCUUGAAUCCGCCGUGAACUGAACAAGAUCCCCUUCUAGUCGGAGGAAAAAGCCGAUGUUAGCAAGAUGCUAGUGCUCAUGCCAAGAGAAAGAAGCUGCCAAUAGCCACUAUCCCAGAUUCCAUGCAAGUGCUAUAAUCCGAUCUGACUCCUCACGCUGGCAAGGAAAGAAAUGACAUAAAGGGAGGUCCUAACUGAAUGAAUUGAGGUUGAGUAAAAGCCAUUCGCUUGAGAACAAUUCGGCGAUUGGAACUCGAUCUGGGAUUGGGAUCUUAGGGCACUGAGAACCUACUGUAUAGUACAUUCAAGAGUACUAAUCAUAAAAAAUGUACAGAAAAAAAGGCACACCCUAUUCAAGGCCCUGAUGGUCACUCCCCCCGCGCUCUACUACAGGAAAGCUAGCCUGGUUGAUCCACUACACGCUAAGAAGCAAGUCCCGACUAACUAAGUAAAUCCGGGUUAGACUGAAAGUGACCAGAAAUUGCAAUCUUCUUUCACAGACUACAGACUAGCGAUAGUUAAAAAGAGCGAAGCGUAGCCGUGUUUAAGCCGAAGUGAUUCCCGUGUUUACUGAGCUAUAUCUCUAUCUAUUAGUUAGCCGGCUUAAAGAGUUUAGACUCACGAUACUGAGAAAGCAAGCCGAUCAUAGACGGAGGUUUAAGCUUGAAGUGAAGUGUCCGCCCUAAGGCGAAUCAGAUGUUCGAACGAGACUGUUCAGGAACAUGGAUUUUUGGUAUACCUGCACAAUAGCUUUCUCUACGAGCCUACAAGCUUAGCUUUGGUUAAGCUUCCAACUAAGGCUAAGGGCUUGGCAUGUUCCCAAGCUAACUCUUGAUAACCUCUGUUCACGCUCACGAUCUUACUUGCACGGCUCCGCUUCUUUCCCUGCUAGGUGAACUAAGCACAGGAGAAGCCUACAGGAAAGGAGAUCUCGCUCUUUCCUUUCACCGGUCGGGAAGUGCAUCCUAUCCUAUAAUAAGCAACUGGGUCUUUCCUGCUUGGGAAUUCGAGUAAGCAGGAAGCGUACUUGUUAAGAGUAGGGGCGCCAUUGCUGAGUGAAGGAACAUGCCAAGGUCAGGGGGAAAAGAAGAACAGAAGCCCUAUUCACAGCUUUUUCGAUCUAUCUAAGCUACUACGUCAAUUUGUGAUUCAAUCGAUGCUAAUUCGGCUAUUAAGGUUGGCCUAGGUUGUUGCCGCUAGGAUUGAGCGAGACUAGACCUAAAGGGUUCAGCCCGGGCUUAGGCCCCAUCCCUCUUGAGCGAAUUCUUUCCUAGAGUGCCGGCUAAUGAUACAUGCCAUCCAUCCAUACUGCUACAGGGCUUAGAGGAGAGAUUGGCUUCAUGCCUAUUCUAUUUCCAAGAGGGCCAUCAAAGAGCCUCUUCUGUCCUGCUUUCUGAUUCAAUUCCAUCUGCACCUGACACCAGCAAGGGAAAGAUAGUUCUGACUCGUCCAUUAAGCAUGUCACUUUCUCUAAGGAAGGGAAGAGCUUCUACACAAAUAAAAGCGUCUGCGCCUCAAGUCCCACAUCUGAGUCAAUAGCACCGGAGUCGAGGUUUUUUAUCCCUAAAACCUUAAAACAUUGCUUGAUUAAGAAAACAGAGUCAAUGGAAAAAACUCCUGAAAUAGCAGGAGUAAUGCAGAUUCAACGGGAGUGAACAGCUUCUUCGUCUGAAACGGAUCCAUGGCAUUUAACAAAAGCAUUUCUCACCGGGAUCUUUCCCCGCUUCCAACCAUUGACCAUUGAUUCUUCUACCCUCUCUCCUACCGGAGACCCGGAUCAAAAGGCAUCCCAAAGCACAUGGAAAGCCUGUCAAACUUGUCAGGCGGUGAUACGAUACCGGAUUGGCUCAAAAUCUAGAUUGAAAAAAGAAAAGUUAUUGCAACUACGAACGUGAACAGAUGCUUUCUCAUUAUACUAUUUUAACCGAAAAAGUGUUUAUGUCGACCCGAUUCUUCUUCUCUUAGGAAAUUUCGUCUUUCGUUUCUCCCCUUUCAAACAGACUUUUUUUUAUCCGCAUCUGAUCUUUCCUGGUAUUCAAUCUGUUUUUUCGGGGUUUUCCGGGUAUUUACUUCUCCUUCAUCCCUUGCUUCUUCCUGUGCUUCGGCUUAGUUUACUACUAAAUUUCACCUUCUUUCACGGGAUUAGUAAUCAAGAGUGUUCCUUGCUUCUUAUCCUGUUUUCCUCAUUAUAGUUCUCGAAAGGUCUUAAAGUAAGCCUCGGGUGAGGGGCACGAAGCUUUCAUACUUAAAUCGAUUCACGGGGAAGUUAUUUUAUAAAAAAAAUCAUUUAACGGCGGGGAUUAUUACUAUUUGGGUCUUUCAAAGGCCUUUGUAUCUAUAUAGAAAUAGAAACUUUGAAUCAAAGCGCUACGCCCCUGGUUAUCUUAGUGAAAGCUCCAUCCCAACUUUCAAAGCGAGUGCACUACUAGCAAUGAAGGGCAUAGUUGGCUAAUAAUCUCUUUAUUUCGAUUCCGAUAGGGG